UGGGGAAUAUUGCGCAAUGGGCGAAAGCCUGACGCAGCAACGCCGCGUGAGCGAUGAAGGUCUUCGGAUUGUAAAGCUCUGUCGGAAGGGACGAAGCCUUUUUUGUUUAAUAAACCAAGAAGGUGACGGUACCUACCAAGGAAGCACCGGCUAACUCUGUGCCAGCAGCCGCGGUAAUACAGAGGGUGCAAGCGUUGUUCGGAAUUAUUGGGCGUAAAGCGCGCGUAGGCGGCCAUUUAAGUUGAAUGUGAAAUCCCCGAGCUCAACUUGGGAAUUGCAGGCAAUACUGAGUGGCUAGAGUGUCAUAGAGGAUGGUGGAAUUCCCAGUGUAGAAGUGAAAUUCGUAGAUAUUGGGAGGAACAUCGGUGGCGAAGGCGACCAUCUGGGUGACCACUGACGC
Molecule: ribosomal RNA, 400 nt
Filed under: uncultured bacterium
Lineage: Bacteria
Description: bacterial SSU rRNA
Rfam family: Bacterial small subunit ribosomal RNA
Source: RNAcentral